CAGCUCCUCUGUGAGGUCCAAGUGCUUAAGCCCCACUCCUAACCCUAAGUAGAUGUCAAAACUCUCAGUGCUUUCUGAGUCUCCAAAGUAGGUGAGCACAGGGCUUCAGAGACAAUCGGAUCAGAUGACCCUGCCUUGAGAAGCUUAAAAUCAGACAACCUAAUCCGGUAUCCUCCAUCACACUGAGCUGAAAUUACCUCCAUGGAACGUGGAACUUUAUCCAAAGUGUGUAAGCACAGUGGAGCCAAGUUUUGCAUUAAGGCUAAACAUACGAAGGAUGUGGAUAAACAAGGGAAAGUUACAGCAAGAAGGUAUUUUUAUCAUUUGAUUCGGCUCCAGCGUUUGUUUGCAUUAGCUGCUAUUGAUUUGAGCUGUCACCUUUGCUGUUUUGAUCACAAAUAUGUCUAG
RNAcentral lists this long non-coding RNA (408 nucleotides) under Crocodylus porosus (Australian saltwater crocodile). RNAcentral's name for it is "lncRNA (ENSCPRG00005005471.1)". The record is from RNAcentral. Lineage: Eukaryota; Metazoa; Chordata; Crocodylia; Crocodylidae.